UACACACCGCCCGUCACACCAUGGGAGUCAGUUGCUCCAGAAAUGGCUACGCUAACCCGCAAGGGGGCAGGCCCUUAAGGAGUAGACUGGUAACUGGGGUG
Molecule: ribosomal RNA, 101 nt
Filed under: uncultured bacterium
Lineage: Bacteria
Description: partial 16S ribosomal RNA
Rfam family: Bacterial small subunit ribosomal RNA
Source: RNAcentral